Molecule: unclassified non-coding RNA, 228 nt
Filed under: Hevea brasiliensis (rubber tree)
Lineage: Eukaryota; Viridiplantae; Streptophyta; Magnoliopsida; Malpighiales; Euphorbiaceae
Source: RNAcentral
UAUUCUCAGAGUCCUAAGCCGGUUCGUCCUGCUGUUAAAAGCCCUCCAGUCUCACAGUUGGAUGAACUUGAGGAUUUCGCCAGGGGUUGGUCUAAGAGUAGUAUUGAUGAAAAUGCUGAUGCUCUUUCUGGAGAAGAUAUGAAUGGAAACUCUGUAGCUGCUGCAUCAGCAGCUGCAAUGAAGGAGGUUAUGGAUAGAGCUGAGGCCAAAUUUAGACAUGCUAAGGAA